AUGAACUCCCCCGAUCCUCUGAUUUUAGUGGGCGAUUUCAACUUGAUUGCUGCUGCUGCUGACAAAAGCAAUGGUAAUAUCAAUAGAGGGUUGAUCAAUGCAUUCAGAAACUUUAUGAACCGGUUGGAGCUCAAGGACAUGUAUUUGCAUGGUAGGAGAUAUACUUGGAGCAAUGAGCAACUGCACACUAUCCUGGUCAGGCUCGACAGGGUUCUUUAUAAUCAACCUUGGAAUGAACUUUUCCCCAAUGCUCUGUUACAAGGCCUUUCCUCCGCUGAUUCAGAUCAUUGUCCACUCCUGCUUUCAAGUAAUGCUCUGUUCAAGCCACAGAGAAGAUUCAUGUUUGAAAAUAUGUGGGUACGGCUAGAGGGGUUCAAUGAAGUUGUUACUGCAGCUUGGGAUAGGGCUACUAAGUCGAGCAAUCCGUACACCAAUUUGCAUAACAAAUUGUCCUUCACUGCCAAGAAGCUCAAGUCUUGGGCUUCCUCUCUGCUAAGUGAUAUUCAGUUAAGGACCAGAAUUGUCCACGAACUUAUCUUACAGCUGGAUAUUGCUAGAGAUAACAGGAUGCUCACCCCCGAAGAGCACACUUUCAGAGGCAAGUUAAAGAUGAUGAGCCUCGGCUUUGCUGCCUUGGACAGAUGUAUGUUUCGUCAACGUUCCAGAUUUCUCAGGCUCAAGGAGGGAGACUGCAACUCUCGGUUUUUUCACUUGAAGGCCACUGCUAGAAGAAGGAAAAAUUUCAUUACUUCUAUCUUAGUUCAAGACACCGAAUAUACUGACCAGCAAAACAAAGAGGAGCAUAUCUGGCAACAUUUUAAUGAUCUUCUUGGCACUUAUCAACCCAGGAACUCUUCUUUAAACCUCGAAGCUCUUGACCUCCCUACCUGUGAUCUAGCUUCCCUUGACCUUGCAUUUUCGGAGGAGGAAAUCAAAAAGGCUAUUUUUGAUAUGCACCCAGAGAAGGCCCCUGGUCCUGAUGGUUACACUGGCCUCUUCUUUCGCACCUGUUGGGAUACUGUCAAAUAUGACUUGAUUGCUGCUUUGAGACACUUCCAAGGGCUGAACACGCAAAACUUAUUUCUGCUUAAUAGUGCUGUUAUUGCGUUGCUUCCAAAGCACCAGGGUGCUGUUAGGCCUCAAGAUUUUAGGCCCAUUAGCCUAAUCCACUUCUUCGCAAAAUUAAUUGCCAAGAUGAUGGCUGCCAGACUACAACCAUGGAUGAACAAGCUAACCUCCCCAUGUCAGAAUGCAUUCAUUAAAGGGCGAAGCAUACAUGAUAAUUUUGUCUAUGUUCAGGCAAUGGCUAAGACCCUAAGACAGAAAAAAAUCCCCUCUGUUAUGCUUAAGUUGGAUAUAACCAAAGCCUUUGAUUCAGUUUCAUGGGAGUUUCUGCUUAAGCUACUGCAAGGUCUGGGUUUUGGGCCGAAGUGGAGAGGAUGGAUAUCGGCCCUCUUUUUCUCUGCUUCCACAAGAAUAUUAGUCAACUCCAAAUGCACUCAACAAAUCCUCCAUCGUAAGGGCCUCAGGCAAGGAGAUCCCCUCUCCCCGCUGCUCUUUGUGCUUGUGGUGGACUGCCUUGGCAGGUUGAUGGACAAAGCACAAAGGAACAACAUCCUAUCCCCUCUGGGUAACCAACUUGUUAAACACCGUGCAUCUAUUUACGCAGACGAUGUCAUCAUUUUCCUCAAGCCUGAGAUGCAUGAUUUUGGGGUUGUAACUGAAGUGCUGAAGCUUUUUGGUGAAGCAACCGGUCUCAUCACUAACCUGGCUAAAAGCAAGAUCCUUCCUAUUCGGUGUGACGACCUUGACCUUACUCCCCUGCAGCUGGCUCUUGGAUGCCAGUUGGCUAGCUUCCCCUGCACUUACCUUGGGAUGCCUCUAUCUGAUAGGCGGUUGAAGCUCAUUGACUUCCAAGACCUGCUUGACAAGUUAAUUAAGAAGAUUGCGGGUUGGAAGGCUAGGUGGAUCUCCUCCACUGGAAGAAUGGUACUCGUGAGGUUUGUACUUUCGGCAAUGCCAAUUUUCAUGCUUCUGGCUGUUCAUCAACCGAAAUGGGUCAUCAAGCAAAUCGAUAAGCUACGUCGUGCUUUUUUAUGGUCUGGCUCUGAUGCUGUCUGCGGUGGCAAGUGCCUUGUCCGCUGGACCCAGGUGUGCUCACCCAUCUCUGUAGGCGGGCUUGGCAUCCAUGACCUUCAAGCUCAGGGGCGGGCGCUUAAAGUACGCUGGCUUUGGCAAAGCAUCACAGAUCCGGAUAAACCAUGGCAAGGUCUGCAGCUCCCUGUUGACAAGCACGUUAAGGCUCUUUUCAUUGCUUGUACCUCCAUCAAAAUUGGUAGUGGUAUUAAGAUAUCCUUUUGGCACGAUCACUGGCUCAACGGUGAGAUUCCAGCUGUUUCGUUUCCUAACCUUUUCAAGCAUAGCAAAAACAGAAGAAUAUCGUUGGCUGAAGGACUCACCAAUAGAAAAUGGGUCACUCUUCUCAAGCGCAACCCGGGCACCGAGGUGUUGCGCGAAUACAUUGACUUCUGGCACAGAUCCAGUGUGGUCACUUUCUCCAACCUGGAGGAUGAGUUCAUUUGGAAAUGGUCAGCGGAUGGAAGAUAUAAUGCUAAGUCAGCUUACCCAUGUCAAUUCUGGGGCAGGAUUGAUUCUCCUCUUCCUGAGAUCAUUUGGCAUAUCAAGGUUCCACCAAGAAUAAGAUUCUUCAGUUGGCUCUUUGUACAGGGCAAAUGUUUGACUGCGGACAACCUUGCGAAGCGAGGUUGGCCUCACAACCCGAUCUGUCAAUUAUGCCACUUAGGGUGGGAGGAUGGUCUGCACCUUGUAUCUAGUUGCCCCUUCACGGCUGGUAUUUGGGGCUAUUGCCUGGCAAUAUAUAAUUUUCCAUUCAACCUCUUACCUAUUGCUCAUACUGGCUCUAUAUUGGACUGGUGGUUAAAGGCUCUGGAUGGUACAGGCAGGAAAAAGGACCUAUCAUCACUUAUAAUGACGGUGUCCUGGCAGGUUUGGAAAGAAAGAAACAGCCGCAUAUUCAACAACAAGGCAAACCACUUCCUGAAGGUCGCUGAGAACAUUAUCAAUGAGCUGAAUUCUUGGAGAAUCGCUGGAUUCAAAGGAGCACAAUGGACAGGCGCGAGAUAA
RNAcentral lists this ribosomal RNA (3144 nucleotides) under Triticum aestivum (bread wheat). Its description in RNAcentral is "partial small subunit ribosomal RNA". The record is from RNAcentral. Lineage: Eukaryota; Viridiplantae; Streptophyta; Magnoliopsida; Poales; Poaceae.